Molecule: ribosomal RNA, 253 nt
Filed under: uncultured bacterium
Lineage: Bacteria
Description: partial 16S ribosomal RNA
Rfam family: Bacterial small subunit ribosomal RNA
Source: RNAcentral
GACGUAGGGCGCGAGCGUUGUCCGGAUUUAUUGGGCGUAAAGAGCUCGUAGGCGGCUCGUUGCGUCGGCUGUGAAAACCCGCAGCUCAACUGUGGGCUUGCAGCUGAUACGGGCGGGCUGGGAUUCGGUAGGGGAGACUGGAAUUCCUGGUGUAGCGGUGAAAUGCGCAGAUAUCAGGAGGAACACCGGUGGCGAAGGCGGGUCUCUGGGCCGAUAUCGACGCUGAGGAGCGAAAGCGUGGGGAGCGAGCAGG